CAGUCGCCGCGGUAAUACGAAGGGUGCAAGCGUUACUCGGAAUUACUGGGCGUAAAGCGUGCGUAGGUGGUGGUUUAAGUCCGUUGUGAAAGCCCUGGGCUCAACCUGGGAAUUGCAGUGGAUACUGGGUCACUAGAGUGUGGUAGAGGAUAGUGGAAUUUCCGGUGUAGCAGUGAAAUGCGUAGAGAUCGGAAGGAACAUCUGUGGCGAAGGCGACUAUCUGGGCCAACACUGACACUGAGGUACGAAAGCAUGGGGAGCAAACAGGAUUAGAUACCCGCGUAGUCCCUGUCUCUUAUAC
This 301-nucleotide ribosomal RNA is filed under the name uncultured bacterium. Its description in RNAcentral is "partial 16S ribosomal RNA". It matches the Rfam family "Bacterial small subunit ribosomal RNA", at positions 509 to 807 of the family's 1533-position model. The record is from RNAcentral.